GUCGAACGAAUUACCUUCGGGUAGUUACGUGGCGCACGGGUGCGUAACGCGUGGGAAUCUGCCCCUUGGUUCGGAAUAACAGUUGGAAACGACUGCUAAUACCGGAUGAUGACGUAAGUCCAAAGAUUUAUCGCCGAGGGAUGAGCCCGCGUAGGAUUAGGUAGUUGGUGUGGUAAAGGCGCACCAAGCCGACGAUCCUUAGCUGGUCUGAGAGGAUGAUCAGCCACACUGGGACUGAGACACGGCCCAGACUCCUACGG
Molecule: ribosomal RNA, 260 nt
Filed under: uncultured Sphingomonas sp.
Lineage: Bacteria; Pseudomonadati; Pseudomonadota; Alphaproteobacteria; Sphingomonadales; Sphingomonadaceae
Description: partial 16S ribosomal RNA
Rfam family: Bacterial small subunit ribosomal RNA
Source: RNAcentral